This 254-nucleotide ribosomal RNA is filed under the name uncultured prokaryote. RNAcentral's name for it is "partial 16S ribosomal RNA". It matches the Rfam family "Bacterial small subunit ribosomal RNA", at positions 524 to 777 of the family's 1533-position model. The record is from RNAcentral.
UACGGAGGAUGCGAGCGUUAUCCGGAUUUAUUGGGUUUAAAGGGUGCGUAGGCGGCCAUUUAAGUCAGCGGUGAAAUCUUGCAGCUUAACUGUAACAGUGCCGUUGAUACUGUUUGGCUAGGAUUUGGUUGUAGUGUGCGGAAUGUGUGGUGUAGCGGUGAAAUGCUUAGAUAUCACACAGAACACCGAUUGCGAAGGCAGCACACUAAGUCAUUAUUGACGCUGAGGCACGAAAGUGUGGGGAUCAAACAGGA